GUGCUCACUUCGGCAGCACAUACACUAAAACUGGAACGAUACGGAGAAGAUUAGCGUGGCCCCCGCGCAAGGGUGACACGCGAAUUCGUGAAGCGUUCCAUAUUUUU
This 107-nucleotide small nuclear RNA is filed under the name Physeter macrocephalus (sperm whale). The record is from RNAcentral. Lineage: Eukaryota; Metazoa; Chordata; Mammalia; Artiodactyla; Physeteridae.